RNAcentral lists this transfer RNA (75 nucleotides) under archaeon. RNAcentral's name for it is "tRNA-Phe". It matches the Rfam family "tRNA". Rfam says of the family: Transfer RNA (tRNA) molecules are approximately 80 nucleotides in length. Their secondary structure includes four short double-helical elements and three loops (D, anti-codon, and T loops). The record is from RNAcentral. RNAcentral also lists the same sequence under 1 other name.
GGAGAUAUAGCUCAGCCUGGGAGAGCUCUAGGUUGAAGACCUGGGAAUGCAGUGGUUCAAAUCCACUUAUCUCCA